This 466-nucleotide long non-coding RNA is filed under the name Cricetulus griseus (Chinese hamster). Its description in RNAcentral is "lncRNA (ENSCGRG00015042524.1)". The record is from RNAcentral. Lineage: Eukaryota; Metazoa; Chordata; Mammalia; Rodentia; Cricetidae.
AAUGCCAUCCACCAGUAAGGAGGGACACCAAUAAGGCGUCCGAUAAGAGUUUAUAAAGACAUGCCAUUGUUGUUGGUUUAAUGAAGAGACACACAGCCAAUAGCUAGUCAGGAAGAGGUCAGACAGGACUUCUUGGAACAGAGAAGUCUUGGGGAAGAAGACAUGCUGAGUUUCCCGACAUACACAGAGGAAGCCGGACAUGCAGGAGGAGAGAGCCCUCGUCCAGUGGCUGAUGGAAACAGAUGCAGACACCCACAGAUAUACACUGAACUGAACUCUGGAACCUAGUUGCAGAGAGGGAGGAAUGAAGAUCAAAGGGGUCAGGACGAGGCUGGUGAAACCCACAGAAACAGCUGGCCUGAACAAGGGGGAGCACAUGGACCCCAGACUGCUGUCUGGGAGGCCAGCAUGGGACUGAUUCAGAUCCCUGAACAUGGAUGUCAAUGAGGAGGCCUCGGCACUCUAC